This 437-nucleotide ribosomal RNA is filed under the name uncultured bacterium. Its description in RNAcentral is "bacterial SSU rRNA". It matches the Rfam family "Bacterial small subunit ribosomal RNA", at positions 27 to 507 of the family's 1533-position model. The record is from RNAcentral.
CGAAUGAACGCUGGCGGCAGGCCUAACACAUGCAAGUCGAACGGGUCCUUCGGGACUAGUGGCGGACGGGUGAGUAAACGCGUGGGAACAUACCCAAAGGUACGGAAUAGCCUCGGGAAACUGAGAGUAAUACCGUAUGUGCCCUUCGGGGGAAAGAUUUAUCGCCUUUGGAUUGGCCCGCGUUGGAUUAGGUAGUUGGUGGGGUAAUGGCCUACCAAGCCGACGAUCCAUAGCUGGUUUGAGAGGAUGAUCAGCCACACUGGGACUGAGACACGGCCCAGACUCCUACGGGAGGCAGCAGUGGGGAAUCUUAGACAAUGGGGAAACCCUGAUCUAGCCAUGCCGCGUGAUCGAUGAAGGCCUUAGGGUUGUAAAGAUCUUUCAGAUGGGAAGACUAACUGACGGUACCAUCAGAAGAAGCCCCGGCUAACUCCGUG